This 1420-nucleotide ribosomal RNA is filed under the name uncultured organism. RNAcentral's name for it is "16S ribosomal RNA". It matches the Rfam family "Bacterial small subunit ribosomal RNA". The record is from RNAcentral.
AUGAACGCUAGCGGCAGGCCUAACACAUGCAAGUCGAGGGGUAACAGUUCCAAGCAAUUGGAAGCUGACGACCGGCGCACGGGUGCGUAACGCGUAUGCAACCUACCUUUGACUGGAGGAUAGCCCGGAGAAAUCCGGAUUAAUACUCCAUAAUAUCAUAGAAAGGCAUCUUUUAGUGAUUAAAGAUUUAUUGGUCAAAGAUGGGCAUGCGUGACAUCAGUUAGUUGGUGAGGUAACGGCUCACCAAGGCAACGAUGUCUAGGGGUUCUGAGAGGAUAACCCCCCACACUGGUACUGAGACACGGACCAGACUCCUACGGGAGGCAGCAGUGAGGAAUAUUGGUCAAUGGGCGCAAGCCUGAACCAGCCAUGCCGCGUGCAGGAUGACGGCCCUAUGGGUUGUAAACUGCUUUUAUACGGGAAGAACCCUCUGAUCGUGAUCGGAGCUGACUGUACCGUAAGAAUAAGCACCGGCUAACUCCGUGCCAGCAGCCGCGGUAAUACGGAGGGUGCAAGCGUUAUCCGGAUUUAUUGGGUUUAAAGGGUGCGCAGGCGGAAUAGUAAGUCAGUGGUGAAAUCCCCCGGCUCAACCGGGGAACUGCCAUUGAUACUGCUGUUCUAGAGUUUAGUUGAAGUGGGCGGAAUGUAGCAUGUAGCGGUGAAAUGCAUAGAUAUGCUACAGAACACCGAUUGCGAAGGCAGCUCACUAAGCUAAAACUGACGCUCAGGCACGAAAGCGUGGGGAUCAAACAGGAUUAGAUACCCUGGUAGUCCACGCUGUAAACUAUGAUCACUCGUUGUUGGCGAUACACUGUCAGCGACUGAGCGAAAGUAUUAAGUGAUCCACCUGGGAAUUACGAUCGCCAGGUUGAAACGUCAAAGGGAAUUGACNGGGGGCCCGCACAAGCGGUGGAGCAUGUGGUUUAAUUCGAUGAUACGCGAGGAACCUUACCUGGGCUUAAAUGUUGGACGACAGUCCCCGAAAGGGGAUUUUCCUUCGGGACGUCCUACAAGGUGCUGCAUGGUUGUCGUCAGCUCGUGCCGUGAGGUGUCGGGUUAAGUCCCAUGACGAGCGCAACCCCUAUUCUUAGUUGCCAUCAGAUAAUGCUGGGGACUCUAAGGAAACUGCCUACGCAAGUAGUGAGGAAGGUGGGGAUGACGUCAAAUCAGCACGGCCCUUAUGUCCAGGGCUACACACGUGCUACAAUGGCCAGUACAGAGGGAAGCUACCAGGUGACUGGAUGCCAAUCUCGAAAGCUGGUCUCAGUUCGGAUUGGAGUCUGCAACUCGACUUCGUGAAGAUGGAAUCGCUAGUAAUCGCGCAUCAGCAAUGGCGCGGUGAUAUGUUCCCGGGCCUUGUACACACUGCCCGUCAAGCCAUGGAAGUUAGUAGUACACUGAAGUCCGUAACCGAAAGGAG